Molecule: transfer RNA, 73 nt
Filed under: Takifugu rubripes (torafugu)
Lineage: Eukaryota; Metazoa; Chordata; Actinopteri; Tetraodontiformes; Tetraodontidae
Also listed under: 2 other names
Rfam family: tRNA
About the family: Transfer RNA (tRNA) molecules are approximately 80 nucleotides in length. Their secondary structure includes four short double-helical elements and three loops (D, anti-codon, and T loops).
Source: Rfam by way of RNAcentral
GGUUCCGUAGCGUUGAGGUCGUCACAUCUGCUGUACAGGCAGAAAGUCCUGGGUUCAAUUCCCAUUGGAGCCA